This 497-nucleotide ribosomal RNA is filed under the name uncultured bacterium. Its description in RNAcentral is "partial 16S ribosomal RNA". It matches the Rfam family "Bacterial small subunit ribosomal RNA", at positions 28 to 507 of the family's 1533-position model. The record is from RNAcentral.
GAUGAACGCUGGCGGCGUGCCUAAUACAUGCAAGUCGAGCGAACAGAUGAGGAGCUUGCUCCUCUGACGUUAGCGGCGGACGGGUGAGUAACACGUUGAUAACCUACCUAUAAGACUUGGUUAACUUCGGGAAACCGGAGCUAAUACCGGAUAAUAUAUUUAACCGCAUGGUUCAAUAGUGAAAGACGGUUUUGCUGUCACUUAUAGAUGGAUCCGCGCCGCAUUAGCUAGUUGGUAAGGUAACGGCUUACCAAGGCAACGAUGCGUAGCCGACCUGAGAGGGUGAUCGGCCACACUGGAACUGAGACACGGUCCAGACUCCUACGGGAGGCAGCAGUAGGGAAUCUUCCGCAAUGGGCGAAAGCCUGACGGAGCAACGCCGCGUGAGUGAUGAAGGUCUUCGGAUCGUAAAACUCUGUUAUUAGGGAAGAACAAAUGUGUAAGUAACUAUGCACGUCUUGACGGUACCUAAUCAGAAAGCCACGGCUAACUACGUG